GACGAACGCUGGCGGCGUGCUUAACACAUGCAAGUCGAACGGAAAGGCCCUGCUUGCAGGGUACUCGAGUGGCGAACGGGUGAGUAACACGUGGGUGAUCUGCCCUGCACUUCGGGAUAAGCCUGGGAAACUGGGUCUAAUACCGGAUAGGAGCCAUUUUUAGUGUGAUGGUUGGAAAGUUUUUUCGGUGUAGGAUGAGCUCGCGGCCUAUCAGCUUGUUGGUGGGGUAAUGGCCUACCAAGGCGGCGACGGGUAGCCGGCCUGAGAGGGUGGACGGCCAGUACUGGCGCUGACGGCCGGCCGCGCCGCCGACGGGUGGAAGAAGGGGGAAAUCCUGAUCAAGGGGCGCCGCCUGGGUGCAGCAGGCCCGCGGGGGGUAUGGCGCUUUUGGUGUGAAAAACUCGUAGCACGGGGGACCACCGUUUUUGUGACGGUACCUAAAGAAUAAGCACCGGCUAACUUCGUG
Molecule: ribosomal RNA, 466 nt
Filed under: uncultured bacterium
Lineage: Bacteria
Description: partial 16S ribosomal RNA
Rfam family: Bacterial small subunit ribosomal RNA
Source: RNAcentral